AGUAGUGAUAUGCUUGUCUCAAAGAUUAAGCCAUGCAUGUGCAAGUUCACCCCCCUGGAGGGGAAGACUGCGGAUGGCUCAUUAAAUCAGCCGUUGUUUGUUUGGUCGUGACCGACGUUGGUUCAUAACUGUGGCAAUUCUAGAGCUAAUACAUGCACGAUAGGCGCCGAUCCCUGCUCCUCCUCACCAGGGGGGGGCAGCCUUUUUGGAGAGGCGUGCUUUUAUUAGACAAGACCUUUGUCCGCCCCUUGAAGGAUGGGGGGCGAGGCAAUCUGUGUUGACUCUGGAUAACUCAUGCGGAUCGCACGGGCGAGGGUGUGCCCAGCGACACACCAUUUAGGCGUCUGACCCAUCAGCUAGUCGGCCGGAGCUGUGCCGGCCGAGGAAGCGACGGGUACAGAGAAUCAGGGUUCGAUUCUGGAGAGGGAGCCUGAGAAACGGCUACCACUUCCAAGGAAGGCAGCAGGCGCGAAAAUUACCCACUCCCGACCCGGGGAGGUAGUGACGAGAAAUGACGGCAGGCGUCUCCUACCACGAGGCUGUCAGGCUGGAAUGAGGUGAACACAAAGCACUCCCAUGAUAUCUAGUCGAGGGCAAGUCUGGUGCCAGCAGCCGCGGUAACUCCAGCUCGACUAGCGUAUGCGAAAGUUGUUG
This 654-nucleotide ribosomal RNA is filed under the name Trypanosyllis depressa. RNAcentral describes it as "bacterial SSU rRNA". It matches the Rfam family "Eukaryotic small subunit ribosomal RNA", at positions 19 to 615 of the family's 1831-position model. The record is from RNAcentral. Lineage: Eukaryota; Metazoa; Annelida; Polychaeta; Phyllodocida; Syllidae.